Gasterosteus aculeatus aculeatus (three-spined stickleback) is the source of this 1940-nucleotide long non-coding RNA. The record is from Ensembl. NCBI's taxonomy places the organism in Eukaryota, Metazoa, Chordata, Actinopteri, Perciformes, Gasterosteidae.
UAGAGACGUGAAAUGUAGGGUGGACACGCAUGGUCCGCGGAAGCUUCAGGCGGACUGCAGCAGGAUUGAUGAUCUUGAGAAUCUCAAAUGGGCCAGUGAACUUCUGGGCCAGUUUCUUUGAGUCGUCACGAAGGGGAAGGUCCUGGGUCGAUAACAAGACCUUCUGGCCCACCCGGUAAGUGGGCGCAGUGGAGCGUCGGCGGUUAGCAGAGGCGGAGUAUCUAGUCACUGACCGCUGGAGGUUGGCCCUGGCCUGGGCCCAGGUGCGCCGACAUUGGCGGAUGAAGGUCUGUACGGCUGGGCAGGAGACCUCCCUCUCUAGGGCUGGGAACAGGGGUGGUUGGUACCCAUGGGCGCACUGGAAUGGGGAGAGGCCGGUGGACGAGCUGACCAGUGUAUUGUGGGCGUACUCCACCCACAUUAGUUGUUUGGACCAGGUCGACGGGUGGCUGGAGACCAUACACCGGAGAGACGCCUCCAUCUCCUGGUUCUUCCGCUCCGUCUGGCCAUUGGACUGGGGGUGGAACCCUGAGGACAGGCUGGCCGUGGCCCCGAUGAGGGUGCAGAACUCUUUCCAAAAGACAGAGGUGAACUGUGGUCCCCGGUCCGAGACCACGUCCACAGGGAGACCAUGGAGUCUAAACACGUCGCGAAGGACCACCUCCGCAGUCUCUUUGGCCGACGGCAACUUAGGCAAGGAAAUAAAAUGCGCCAUCUUGCUGAACCGGUCCACCACCGUGAGAAUGGCGGUGUGCCCUUGAGAUGGUGGUAGGCCGGUUACAAAGUCCAGGGAUACGUGGGACCAGGGGCGGUGAGGGACGGGAAGCGGGUGCAGGAGUCCAGCCGGAGCCUGGUUGGAGGACUUGUUCCGGUUACAGACGGGGCAGGCUUUUACAAACUCCUGGACGUCUUUGUUCAGGGACUCCCACCAGAACCGGCGCCGGAGAAAUUCUCUGGUUCGCUGGAUCCCUGGGUGGCAGGUGAGAUGGGUACUGUGGCCCCACUGGAGUACCUCAGACCGGAGUUGCCUCGGGACAAAAGAGUCAGUUGGGUGGGCAGGCGCUGGGACCUGGCUGCUCCUCCAGAGCUGCCUGAACCCUCUCCUCGACUCCCCAGGUGAUGGCAGCCGCCAGGCGAGCCGGGGGAAGGAUGGUGACCGCCUCUGCAGUACCCUCCUCCUCCCCCUUCAGAAAUAGGCGAGACAGGGCGUCGGGCUUGACGUUGCGGCUACCUGGUCGAUAGGAGAGGGUGAAAUUGAAGCGGGUGAGGAAGAGUGACCAGCGGGCCUGCCUGGAAUUUAGUCUUCUGGCCGUCCUGAUGUACUCCAGGUUCUUGUGGUCGGUCCACACCAGGAACGGCUGUUUGGCCCCCUCCAGCCAGUGCCGCCACUCCUCCAGAGCCGCCUUCACUGCCAGGAGCUCUCGGUUGCCGAUGUCGUAGUUUCUCUCUGCGGGGUUCAGACGGCGAGAGAAGAAGGCGCAGGGGUGGAGUUUCUGGUCGUCGGCGGCCCGCUGCGACAGGACGGCCCCUACGCCAACAUCCGAGGCAUCCACCUCCACUACAAAUUGCCUCUCUGGGUCGGGCAUGCGCAGGAUGGGGGCGGAGGUGAAGCGGCUUGUUUCAGGCAGACUUGAUGACAGGCUGUGCUCCACCCCAGGAUGGACCCUGUCGCCCAGUCGAUGUGCGGGUUAUGACGGCGAAGCCAGGGGAACCCCAGGAGGAGCGGGAUCCGAGUUGAGUCCAGGAUGUGAAAAGAAAUCGACUCAUGGUGGUUCCCGGAGAGCAGCAUUUGGACAGGGACAGUCUGGUGGGUCACCAUUCCGAGGGCGUGACCAUCCAGGGCAUUGGCGGGCACGGGCUGAGGCAGAGGCACUCUCUCAAUCUCCAACUGCCGGGCUAACUCGCUGUUGAUAAUAGAUACAUCGGCCCCUGAGUCAAUG